This 458-nucleotide long non-coding RNA is filed under the name Nicotiana benthamiana. RNAcentral describes it as "long non-coding RNA (NBEN_LNC040237)". The record is from RNAcentral. Lineage: Eukaryota; Viridiplantae; Streptophyta; Magnoliopsida; Solanales; Solanaceae.
AUGACACACAUAUGCUGGAACAUCAUACUGUUUUUACUAAAGAACCAAACAAUUGGAAUCAAACAUCUCAGAGAUAGAUGAAUAGUACACAGUUUAGAGUUGCAACAGCUUUGGGAUACAGAUGCUAUUGCCUCAAUAGAUUGUUCACAGAUUAGUUUAGCAUCAGACCUUGUCAUUAACCCUCACAUAAGUGAACAAUACUACUUGGGACCUUUUGAAAACAUCAGUACAGAUCCAGAUAAUGACAUAGGCAGGUUAUUGUGCUCAUUCAGUAACAAUAAUAGGUUUCUCCAAACCCAGAUUCAAUUUAGAUUAACAUGGAAAGAGAGAACUGAGCAUUGUUUCAAAAUAGUGUUCAAAAGUAUUCAAUUCAGAUUAACAUGGAAAGAGAGAAUUGAGCAUUGUUUCAAAAUAAUGUUCAAAAGUAUGAAGUCAUGAGGGAUAAGCAAAGAUAUAUC